CCACAUUUUUGUAGAUGAUACGCUCGAUUGUCAGGCUGGAAACAGGGAUAGACCAGCUAUAUCAUCUGCUCGCUGACGGCGCGUGCUUGCUCCUUCUCUCUCCUCAAGCAAUCCCGAGGAUAAUAUAAAGAGACAGUGGAUUCCAACGGUAUAAGCUUUCAAACCAGUUGUCCACUGAAUGAAUGAGUGUUUUGGGGACUCACAGAGAAGCAGUGUGAUUAACUCAGACCUUCUGGAACCAUGAUAUCACAGAACAUCUGGAGCCCACACAAGGUCGCUGAAGGUUCCAGGACAUCGUUUGAACUCCAUAUAAGGGCACGGCCAGCUGGGGGACAUUCCAUGUGCAGACUGAUGGUAGAAAACACAUCCUCUCUUACCGUCUGCAUCUGAGUGUGUGUUUCUCAUCAUGAGGCAUGAGACACGAUUGCAACACUGAAUUCUUUUACAAAUGUCACAUUUGCUUUCUACAAGGAAAGUGGUUCUGAGUUUGGACUGUUUGGAGAGAUAAAGUGUGUUCGUGUGUGUAUGAGGCGUAGCAUCUGUUCUUUUUUGGAUAAACAAAACACGUCUGAUGCGUGCGGCAUCUUCCUAAACGUCUGGUUCCCUGUGAUAGGAAGUUACAUGUUGUGCUACCUUAUCUACAAUUAAAUAUCUUCAACAUGUACUAGA
Long non-coding RNA from Carassius gibelio (silver crucian carp), 669 nucleotides. RefSeq lists it as uncharacterized. NCBI's taxonomy places the organism in Eukaryota, Metazoa, Chordata, Actinopteri, Cypriniformes, Cyprinidae. The transcript is spliced from 3 exons. The record is from RefSeq and is a predicted model, not a curated record.